Rhagoletis zephyria (snowberry fruit fly) is the source of this 74-nucleotide non-coding RNA. The record is from the annotation of a RefSeq genome assembly. NCBI's taxonomy places the organism in Eukaryota, Metazoa, Arthropoda, Insecta, Diptera, Tephritidae.
GGGAGUGUGGCCUAGUGGAAUAAGGCGUCGGUUUCCGGAGCCGAAGAUCGAGAGUUCGAAUCUCUCCACUUCCU